RNAcentral lists this ribosomal RNA (202 nucleotides) under uncultured Prevotella sp. RNAcentral describes it as "partial 16S ribosomal RNA". The record is from RNAcentral. Lineage: Bacteria; Pseudomonadati; Bacteroidota; Bacteroidia; Bacteroidales; Prevotellaceae.
GGAGUUUGGUCCGUGUCUCAGUACCAAUGUGGGGGACCUUCCUCUCAGAACCCCUACUGAUCGUCGGCCAGGUGGGCCGUUACCCCGCCUGCUGCCUAAUCAGACGCAUCCCCAUCCGUCAGCGAUGAAUCUUUGUUCCUCGUUAGAUGCCCGCUAAGGAAAACAUAGGGUAUUAAUCCGACUUUCGCCGGGCGUAUCCCCU